GCUUAGCCAUAAACAUUGACAGUACUUAACAUUUUCUGUCCGCCUGGGAACUACGAGCACCAGCUUAAAACCCAAAGGACUUGGCGGUGCUUUAGACCCACCUAGAGGAGCCUGUUCUAGAACCGAUACUCCCCGUUCAACCUCACCCCUCCUUGCCAAUCCCGCCUAUAUACCACCGUCGUCAGCUUACCCUUUGAGGGACAAACAGUAAGCAAAACUGGCAUUGCCCAGCACGUCAGGUCGAGGUGUAGCGAAUGGAGGGGGAAGAAAUGGGCUACAUUCCCUUGCCGACAGGGAACUACGAAUGGUGCACUGAAAACGUGCUCCUGAAGGAGGAUUUAGCAGUAAAAGGGAAAUAGAGAAUUCCUUUGAAGCCGGCUCUUAAGCGCGC
RNAcentral lists this ribosomal RNA (391 nucleotides) under Rhabdosargus sarba (goldlined seabream). RNAcentral's name for it is "partial 12S ribosomal RNA". It matches the Rfam family "Bacterial small subunit ribosomal RNA", at positions 794 to 1384 of the family's 1533-position model. Lineage: Eukaryota; Metazoa; Chordata; Actinopteri; Spariformes; Sparidae. The record is from RNAcentral.